RNAcentral lists this ribosomal RNA (527 nucleotides) under uncultured bacterium. RNAcentral describes it as "bacterial SSU rRNA". It matches the Rfam family "Bacterial small subunit ribosomal RNA", at positions 18 to 518 of the family's 1533-position model. The record is from RNAcentral.
UCUUGGUCAGGACGAGCGCUGGCGGCGUGCCUAAUACAUGCAAGUCGAACGGUCUUUCUAUGGAAGCUUGCUUCCACUGAGAAGAUAGUGGCGAACGGGUGAGUAACACGUGGGUAACCUGCCCAUAAGAGGGGGAUAACAUCCGGAAACGGGUGCUAAUACCGCAUAGUUUUCUUGAUCGCAUGAUCGGGAAAGGAAAGACGGCCUUUGUGCUGUCGCUUAUGGAUGGACCCGCGGCGUAUUAGUUAGUUGGUGAGGUAACGGCUCACCAAGACGAUGAUACGUAGCCGACCUGAGAGGGUGAUCGGCCACAUUGGGACUGAGACACGGCCCAAACUCCUACGGGAGGCAGCAGUAGGGAAUCUUCCGCAAUGGACGAAAGUCUGACGGAGCAACGCCGCGUGAGUGAAGAAAGGUUUUCGGAUCGUAAAACUCUGUUGUCAGAGAAGAACAAGUUGGAGAGUAACUGCUCCAGCCUUGACGGUAUCUGACCAGAAAGCCACGGCUAACUACGUGCCAGCCGCAGC